GAGUUUGAUCAUGGCUCAGAUUGAACGCUGGCGGCAGGCCUAACACAUGCAAGUCGAGCGGAUGAAGGGAGCUUGCUCCUGGAUUCAGCGGCGGACGGGUGAGUAAUGCCUAGGAAUCUGCCUGGUAGUGGGGGAUAACGUCCGGAAACGGGCGCUAAUACCGCAUACGUCCUGAGGGAGAAAGUGGGGAGUCUUCGGACCUCACGCUAUCAGAUGAGCCUAGGUCGGAUUAGCUAGUUGGUGGGGUAAAGGCCUACCAAGGCGACGAUCCGUAACUGGUCUGAGAGGAUGAUCAGUCACACUGGAACUGAGACACGGUCCAGACUCCUACGGGAGGCAGCAGUGGGGAAUAUUGGAUAAUGGGCGAAAGCCUGAUCCAGCCAUGCCGCGUGUGUGAAGAAGGUCUUCGGAUUGUAAAGCACUUUAAGUUGGGAGGAAGGGCAGUAAGUUAAUACCUUGCUGUUUUGACGUUACCAACAGAAUAAGCACCGGCUAACUUCGUGCCAGCAGCCGCCG
RNAcentral lists this ribosomal RNA (516 nucleotides) under uncultured microorganism. RNAcentral's name for it is "bacterial SSU rRNA". It matches the Rfam family "Bacterial small subunit ribosomal RNA", at positions 9 to 520 of the family's 1533-position model. The record is from RNAcentral.